This is a long non-coding RNA of Lytechinus pictus (painted urchin), 2992 nucleotides long. RefSeq lists it as uncharacterized. The record is from RefSeq and is a predicted model, not a curated record. The transcript has 3 exons. Lineage: Eukaryota; Metazoa; Echinodermata; Echinoidea; Temnopleuroida; Toxopneustidae.
AAUUUGAAAAAGGAAUGCGCCCGUUUUUCGCCGUAAAUGUUGCAGCCUAAUUUUGGAUCGAGAAUUAAGUGCGACGAAGAUGGCCGUUAAUAAUAGUUCUACUACUUUAAGAACACGGUUCAGAUUUGGAUAACGACUUCGAAGGCAUUCGCAGGAGACCAAACAGAGAAAGAGAGGGAGACACAAAACCACCUGUCUCGGUGUCACACAUGAGGAGUUGAGGAGGAGAUGAAGUCAGUGAAUAUGACCUGGCCUGGGGGAGUUUCCAGAAGAAGGCCCAGAAUCGCUGGAUGCCAGGAGUGGAGAUCCUUCGUUGCUGCCCUACAUGAUAGGAGGCAUCGGGCAGUAGAUGCUGUAAUUUGAACGGAAGGUGUCCUGCCCAUAAAUUUUCAUCCCACCUGAACUGCCUUGCCUGCCUGCACCCAGUCAUCUGUUCCUGAGCAUUUUCAUUUUCCUCUAUUUUUCAUCAUCGUUUGUUUCGGCCUGUAUGAAGUGAAUUUCACAUUGAUUGGUGGAGCUGCUAAGUUGGCAUUACAGGGCCACGCCGGGGUAUGAUCCUUUGGGUUGAACAUCAUGACUGCUAGUUGGUCGGCAAAGGUGAUGGGAUCGAUCAAUGUCACAUGGAGUAAGAUCGAUACCAAUCUGCUUUGCUACAUUUCGAACAAUCUCAUACGGAUACGGAUAUUAUUGCGACAGGAGUACUGCUCGAUGUGGUCAAGCCUAUUUGACAAAGCAUUAUGGUGUUAGUCAUGUUAUCAGAAACCGAUUUUUCAAAAUCACGGAGUUGCUUCAAUUUAGUAUCGAUAGAUAUUUCAAGAACGUGUAGACUAGUGAGCUUUUCAUCAAGAAUUUCACGCAAUUUAUUUUCGCGCUUAUCCAUGUCAUCAUUGAGUUUUUGUCUCUCGCGUUCCAUUGCCACGGCCACCGCUCUUUGAACGACUGUAUCAAUAUGAUCUAGGUAUGCUGGGCUUUGUUUAGAUCCAGUUAAUGAUGAAGCAGAGGAUUGUGUACAUGCAUUAGCCGAGUGCAAGCGGCCUCUUGAUCUGGUGGAUAUCUUAGACAUGUUAGAGAUUACGUAAUGAUAUAAUUGAAAAGUGGGAUGGGCUGUGCAUCUGCCAACUCACCAUGUCAACCAAUUAGAGACGGCCUUCCAAAGUGACACAGCACGAAAAUAUCAAUAUGGGACUGGUCUAGUCAACACAUAGAUCCUGAAAAAACCAUGGAGACCGCAGACGCAAAAUGACUUCCAUACAUAAAGAUAUGAUGCACAAUUUCCAGUGGGUUCAAAACACUGAACACAUGCUAUGCUGAUACACAGACUAUCAUAUUAAAGAACUUCAUCAAGCAAAGGAAAUCUGGUAUGAAAUCUCUCAGCUCACAUAAAAAGCCUACGUAGCUACAUGUAGGGAAGAAAAUGCGUAAUUGCUGAGAAAUUAGCAAAAUAAGCAUGUAAUUCUUUCAAAUGUCAGGUAUUUUUCGAAUCGAUUAUAAUACACUGUCCCACAUAUGCUUUUCUGUGUUUACAGCGAUCAUCAGAAUUAUCGAUUUUAAGUUUAAAAAUUCAUGAUUUUACAAAGAUACAAGUUUACAUUAAUGUACCAGAUGUAGAUUAUGUACAAUAUAUUGACAAUGAACUUUGAUUUUAUAGAUUUUCUCAAGAAAUAAUUGUUUGCUGCAACUACUGUCUUUUCCUUCUAAGUGAUAGUGUAAUACAACAGUUCCACAAACUAUUUUCAUCAGACUUAUUGAUGCAUGAUUCUUUCACCCAAAUGCAAGCUUCCAUAAAUCCUGAAAACUUUGCAACUCAGGUUUUUUUUUUUUUUACAUACAGUAUAUUUUGUCCUACAUUGCAUAGUUGCCUUAAGUUAAUAGCGCACCUCUAGUAGUAACUAUCUUAAAAUGAGUUCGAACAGAAUCCAACAGAAUUACCAGCAAAGUGUAUGUAUAUAUAAAAGAUGUGUGCCAAAAAGCUUGGGAAGAAAAUGUGUGUAAUUGCUGAGAAAUGAGCAAAAUAAGCAUGUAAUUCUAUCAAAUGUCGGGUAUUUUUCAAAUCAAUCAUAAUACACUGUCCUGUCCCACAUAUGCUUUUCUGUGUUAGUGAUCAUCAGAAUUAUUGAUUUUAAGAUCAAAAUUCAUGAUUUUACAAAGAUACAAGUUUACAUUAAUUUACCAGGGCCCCGUCUUACAAAGAGUUAUGAUUGAUCCGAUCAAUCGCAACUAUGGACGGUCAGCAACGUUAACAUAGAUCUAUUAAGCAUGUUUGUUCAAAAUAUUUUCUAGCUAUGAUGUAUGUUCAUGCAUUCAUUGUUUUCUCAAAAAUUCGCUGCGCUUCUCUUUGCAUACAAAGGACAUUGUGCAAUUUUUUCGUAGAAAAAAUUAUGACACUGAUGGAUUUCCAUAGAGUUAUGAUUGAUCGGAUCAAUCGUAACUCUUUGUAAGACAGGGCCCAGAUCUAGAUUAUGUACAAUAUUUUGACAAUUAACCUUAAUUUAAAAGACUUUCCGAAGAAAUAAUUGUUUGCUGCAACUACUGUCUUUUACCCCUGGCCCUAAGUGAUAGUGUAAUACAACCCAAACAUUUCAUUAGAAUUAAUGUACAUGUAUGAUUCUUUCACCCAAAUGCGAGCUUCCAUAAAUCCUGAAACUAUUCCAACUCGGGUAUUUUUUUUUUACAUACAGUCUAUUUUUACCUACAUUACAUAGUUGUCUAAAGUUGAAGGUAUAUUUAAUUACAAUUUCAACGAAAAAGCUUUAUUCUUGGAGAUCAUUAUGCCUCUGUUAUGUAUUAAUGUGUAUUUAUACAUGUACAAUUGUAUGUAUUGGUAUAACAGACAUUGUAAUUUCAUUCCUUUGACCCUAAUACUGCAUUUUCAUAGAAAAGUGUUUUUUUUUUCAAUCUAUUUAGAGUUUUCAACAUUUUGUAUUCCUUUUUUUUUUGCUGGUAAUAUGUUAUGCAACUUUUAUUUAUUAAUAGAAUAUUUGCCACGAUUUCG